This 500-nucleotide ribosomal RNA is filed under the name uncultured bacterium. RNAcentral's name for it is "partial 16S ribosomal RNA". It matches the Rfam family "Bacterial small subunit ribosomal RNA", at positions 30 to 523 of the family's 1533-position model. The record is from RNAcentral.
AUUGAACGCUGGCGGCAGGCCUAACACAUGCAAGUCGAGCGGAUGACGGGAGCUUGCUCCUUGAUUCAGCGGCGGACGGGUGAGUAAUGCCUAGGAAUCUGCCUGGUAGUGGGGGACAACGUUUCGAAAGGAACGCUAAUACCGCAUACGUCCUACGGGAGAAAGCAGGGGACCUUCGGGCCUUGCGCUAUCAGAUGAGCCUAGGUCGGAUUAGCUAGUUGGUGGGGUAAUGGCUCACCAAGGCGACGAUCCGUAACUGGUCUGAGAGGAUGAUCAGUCACACUGGAACUGAGACACGGUCCAGACUCCCACGGGAGGCAGCAGUGGGGAAUAUUGGACAAUGGGCGAAAGCCUGAUCCAGCCAUGCCGCGUGUGUGAAGAAGGUCUUCGGAUUGUAAAGCACUUUAAGUUGGGAGGAAGGGCAGUAAGUUAAUACCUUGCUGUUUUGACGUUACCGGCAGAAUAAGCACCGGCUAACUCUGUGCCAGCCGCCGCCGUAA